This 301-nucleotide ribosomal RNA is filed under the name uncultured bacterium. RNAcentral describes it as "partial 16S ribosomal RNA". It matches the Rfam family "Bacterial small subunit ribosomal RNA", at positions 509 to 807 of the family's 1533-position model. The record is from RNAcentral.
CAGUAGCCGCGCGGGAAUACGUAGGUGGCAAGCGUUGUCCGGAAUUAUUGGGCGUAAAGGGCUCGCAGGCGGUUUCUUAAGUCUGAUGUGAAAGCCCCCGGCUCAACCGGGGAGGGUCAUUGGAAACUGGGAAACUUGAGUGCAGAAGAGGAGAGUGGAAUUCCACGUGUAGCGGUGAAAUGCGUAGAGAUGUGGAGGAACACCAGUGGCGAAGGCGACUCUCUGGUCUGUAACUGACGCUGAGGAGCGAAAGCGUGGGGAGCGGACAGGAUUAGAUACCCCCGUAGUCCCUGUCUCUUAU